UGGGGAAUUUUGGACAAUGGGCGCAAGCCUGAUCCAGCCAUGCCGCGUGCGGGAAGAAGGCCUUCGGGUUGUAAACCGCUUUUGUCAGGGAAGAAAUCUUCUGAGUUAAUACCUCGGGAGGAUGACGGUACCUGAAGAAUAAGCACCGGCUAACUACGUGCCAGCAGCCGCGGUAAUACGUAGGGUGCAAGCGUUAAUCGGAAUUACUGGGCGUAAAGCGUGCGAGGCGGUUUUGUAAGACAGAGGUGAAAUCCCCGGGCUCAACCUGGGAACUGCCUUUGUGACUGCAAGGCUUGAGUGCGGCAGAGGGGGGAUGGAAUUCCGCGUGUAGCAGUGAAAUGCGUAGAUAUGCGGAGGAACACCGAUGGCGAAGGCAAUCCCCUGGGCCUGCACUGACGCUCAUGCACGAAAGCGUGGGGAGCAAAACAGGAUUAGAUACCCUGGUAGUCCACGCCCUAAAACGAUGUC
Molecule: ribosomal RNA, 468 nt
Filed under: uncultured bacterium
Lineage: Bacteria
Description: partial 16S ribosomal RNA
Rfam family: Bacterial small subunit ribosomal RNA
Source: RNAcentral